UCAAGAAUUAGUCAGCAUGAGAUUAGAUGA
This 30-nucleotide non-coding RNA is filed under the name Mus musculus (house mouse). Lineage: Eukaryota; Metazoa; Chordata; Mammalia; Rodentia; Muridae. The record is from RNAcentral.